This 545-nucleotide ribosomal RNA is filed under the name Protoblastenia rupestris. RNAcentral describes it as "eukaryotic LSU rRNA". The stretch from base 198 to 351 matches the Rfam family "5.8S ribosomal RNA". Lineage: Eukaryota; Fungi; Ascomycota; Lecanoromycetes; Lecanorales; Psoraceae. The record is from RNAcentral.
AAGGAUCAUUACCGAGAGGGGCUCCGUGCUCCCGGGGGCUUCGGCCCCCGCCUCUUCCCCCCCGUGAUUACUUUACCUCCUGUUGCUUUGGCGGGCCUUGGGAUCACGCCCAUGCCGGUUUGCCGGCGAGCGCCCGCCAGAAGCCCUCUCCAAUUCGUUUUAUUUUACCAACGUCUGAGUGAUUAUCAAUCAAUCAAAACUUUCAACAACGGAUCUCUUGGUUCUGGCAUCGAUGAAGAACGCAGCGAAAUGCGAUAAAUAAUGUGAAUUGCAGAACUCAGUGAACCAUCGAAUCUUUGAACGCACAUUGCGCCCCUCGGUACCCCGGGGGGCAUGCCCGUUCGAGCGUCAUUGCACCCCUCAAGCUCGGCUUGGUCUUGGGUCCUCGCCCCCGGGGCGUCCCCGAAAAGUAGUGGCGAUCCGGUGCGACUCCGAGUGUAGUAAACCCUAUCCCGCUCCGGAAGUUGCUUCGUGAUGCGCCAGACAACCCAUCAACUAUUCCAACGAUUGACCUCGGAUCGGGUAGGAAUACCCGCUGAACUUAA